Molecule: ribosomal RNA, 491 nt
Filed under: uncultured bacterium
Lineage: Bacteria
Description: partial 16S ribosomal RNA
Rfam family: Bacterial small subunit ribosomal RNA
Source: RNAcentral
GAUGAACGCUAGCGAUAGGCUUAACACAUGCAAGUCGAGGGGUAACGUGUUGGAAGCUUGCUUCCGAUGACGCCGACCGGCGGAUGGGUGCGUAACGCGUAUGCAACUUGCCUCACAGUGGAGAAUAACCCGGAGAAAUCCGGACUAAUGUUCCAUACACUCUUAAGUACUCCUGUACAUGAGAGGAAAGAUUUAUCGCUGUGAGAUAGGCAUGCGUCCUAUUAGGUAGUUGGUGAGGUAACGGCUCACCAAGCCGACGAUAGGUAGGGGUGCUGAGAGGCAGAUCCCCCACAUUGGGACUGAGACACGGCCCAAACUCCUACGGGAGGCAGCAGUGAGGAAUAUUGGUCAAUGGAGGAAACUCUGAACCAGCCAAGUCGCGUGAAGGAAGAAUGUCCUAAGGAUUGUAAACUUCUUUAGCGAGCGAGUAAGGACUUCCACGUGAUGGGAGUUUGAAAGUAGCUCGAGAAUAAGUAUCGGCUAACUCCGUG